GGGGCUGUAGCUCAGUGGUAGAGCGCUCGCCUAGCACGUGUGAGGCCCUGGGUUCAAUCCUCAGCACCA
RNAcentral lists this transfer RNA (69 nucleotides) under Ictidomys tridecemlineatus (thirteen-lined ground squirrel). Its description in RNAcentral is "Spermophilus tridecemlineatus (thirteen-lined ground squirrel) tRNA". It matches the Rfam family "tRNA". Rfam says of the family: Transfer RNA (tRNA) molecules are approximately 80 nucleotides in length. Their secondary structure includes four short double-helical elements and three loops (D, anti-codon, and T loops). Lineage: Eukaryota; Metazoa; Chordata; Mammalia; Rodentia; Sciuridae. The record is from Rfam by way of RNAcentral.